Macrosteles quadrilineatus (aster leafhopper) is the source of this 555-nucleotide long non-coding RNA. RefSeq lists it as uncharacterized. NCBI's taxonomy places the organism in Eukaryota, Metazoa, Arthropoda, Insecta, Hemiptera, Cicadellidae. The transcript has 2 exons. The record is from RefSeq and is a predicted model, not a curated record.
GCGAACCUGAAUAGAAGAAGAAGAAAGAGAAGAGAAGAGUAAUUUUUUUUAGGAAAUGUUGGUUCUGUUUUCUGUUCUGGUUGACUAAAGGAGGUUAUGUCAAGCUGAUUAUUGGGAAGCAUAAAACGUUUUAGAUUUUAGUAGGGGUUUGUUAAUAUUACGACGAGCAAUUCUGUUUGCUAAGGGAAGGAGAAUGAACUUCAUUGUGAACAUCGUUCGACAGUCCAUCACCAAUGUGAAUCCUCCUGUGAACAGUGUCACUCAGGUAGCGAAGACAUUGUUACAACCAGUGUUGCCAACAUUGAACUUUGUCAAUGGAUUUAAGAUGCGUUACGCAGUGAAACGGAGGUGCCGAGACUGCUGGUUGGAGAUUAGAGACGGUAGAAUUUACAAUCUUUGCUUAACUCAUCCGAGGCACAAGCAGAUGGGACUGAAAACGCACGAUAAAAAGAAAAGGAUCCUCACGUGGGCAGGUAUGAGCAAGAGGCGUGCUUGGUAAACGUUUAUUUGUAUUAGCUUAGUAGGUAUUGUAAAUAUAUUUUUGUUCAAAAUGUU